AGGUGAUAAACGUAGUUAUUCGGCCCGAUGGGGAUAACCCUCCCAAAGGAGUAUACGCAUAGACACGCUUCGAGAGGGGAGAGGUCAAGCCGCACUAUACAUUAGCUGGCGCUUGGAGAUGAGCUGCGGCCAUCAGCUAUUUGUAGGGUAAUGCCUACCAAGGCAAAGACGGGUAGCUGGUCUGAGAGGAUGAUCAGCCACACUGAACUGAGACACGGUCCAGACUCCUACGGGAGGCAGCAGUGGGGAAUCUUGCGCAAUGGGCGAAAGCCUGACGCAGCGACGCCGCGUGGGUGAUGAAGGCCUUCGGGUUGUAAAGCCCUGUGGAGGGGGAAGAAUAAGGGCAGCCUAAUACGCUGACCGAUGACGGUACCCCUUUAGCAGCACCGGCUAACUCUGUGCCAGCGGCCGCGGUAAGACAGAGGGUGCAAACGUUGUUCGGAAUUACUGGGCGUAAAGCGCGUGUAGCGGCUUGGCAAGUCGGGUGUGAAAGCCCUGGGCUCAACCUAGGAAGUGCACUCGAAACCGGUUCGCUUGAGUGUCGGAGAGGAAAGCGGAAUUCUCGGUGUAAGGUGAAAUUCGUAAUUUCGAAGGAACACC
RNAcentral lists this ribosomal RNA (600 nucleotides) under uncultured bacterium. Its description in RNAcentral is "bacterial SSU rRNA". It matches the Rfam family "Bacterial small subunit ribosomal RNA", at positions 104 to 710 of the family's 1533-position model. The record is from RNAcentral.